Molecule: long non-coding RNA, 983 nt
Organism: Brachypodium distachyon (stiff brome)
Lineage: Eukaryota; Viridiplantae; Streptophyta; Magnoliopsida; Poales; Poaceae
Exons: 5
Source: RefSeq, a predicted model, not a curated record
CUCAACACAAGUGUCCAGCCAAUGUUCCCCUCAAUAUUAUUGAAGAAGUCUGGAAUGCUCUGGGUGAUUGUUACGAUGAUUCUGUUCAGUGACUCUAAUCCUGAUGAGCUCAUGGCUUUAUCUGACCAAGCUGCAAAAGGAAAAGAGAUGGCCGGGGAGCUACCUUCACCGGAUCUGCCACCUAACUAUGCAUUUGAAAUGGGCUUCGAACCAGCAUUGCAGAGGGCAAACUUCCCGUAUCCAAGCAUAACCAUUCAACCUAUACCAUGGCUCAGAGAGACACUUCUACAUUUUGGGUUGAUCACAUUGCUGUCGAAACAUUCCCUCUGGAGAAUGGACACACACAAUGUAAAAUUGGUUUCACUGUUUACGCUAGGGCGGCCGGGUAAUCAGCGAGGCACUUGAAAGGAUUGGGUACAAUAUUCCAACAUACUCCUCCACUAGAAUGGGAGCUUUGGAAGGGGCCUUCACCAUGAUAUUGACAACUUUUGUGAAUCUAUUGCUGCCAACAACAUAAAUGAUGUGAGGGAGGCAUAUGACUUAACAUACGCAAGUUGUAGCUUUGGAGCCAUUAUAAACCAAGCCCUUCAUCAAUUGGGUGGUUAUAGUUGGCAUUUUGGUGAACCUAUUUUCACUUCAGAGGGAAUCUAGGAAAGAAUUGUUGUGACUAGGGGAAGUUCUGGACCACUGCUGAUGGUAAUGAGUAGACCUUGUGAACGAUCUUGUGAAGCAAAGGAGAGUGCACUAAUAAAUACAAUGAUCUACAUCAGUGACAUUUGUGCCUACGAAAUUAAUGACCUGCACUUCUCCGAGUACGUGGUAUGAUGUCAUGAAGUUCUAGGAAUUUAAUUUAGUCUUGGUUGUUGGUUGUAAUGAACUAUUCUGAGUUGUUGUGCUUUGUACUGAACUAAUUUAUAUUAUGCGUGUUGGUUUGGCAACUAGUGAAUUACAUGCAACUGGUGAAGCAAGCACCAAGUUUGAGA